AACGGCCAUACCAUGCUGAAUAUACCGGUUCUCGUUAGAUCACCGAAGUCAAGCAUCAUUGGGCGCGGUCAGUACUUGGGUGGGUGACCACAUGGAAACACCGCGUGCCGUU
This 112-nucleotide ribosomal RNA is filed under the name Caerostris extrusa. The record is from RNAcentral. Lineage: Eukaryota; Metazoa; Arthropoda; Arachnida; Araneae; Araneidae.